CCUACGGGGGGCAGCAGUGGGGAAUAUUGGACAAUGGGGGCGACCCUGAUCCAGCCAUGCCGCGUGUGUGAAGAAGGCCCUCGGGUUGUAAAGCACUUUCAGUGAGGAAGAACGCCUGGUGGUUAAUACCCAUCAGGAAAGACAUCACUCACAGAAGAAGCACCGGCUAACUCCGUGCCAGCAGCCGCGGUAAUACGGAGGGUGCGAGCGUUAAUCGGAAUUACUGGGCGUAAAGCGCGCGUAGGUGGCUUGAUAAGCCGGUUGUGAAAGCCCCGGGCUCAACCUGGGAACGGCAUCCGGAACUGUCAAGCUAGAGUGCAGGAGAGGAAGGUAGAAUUCCCGGUGUAGCGGUGAAAUGCGUAGAGAUCGGGAGGAAUACCAGUGGCGAAGGCGGCCUUCUGGACUGACACUGACACUGAGGUGCGAAAGCGUGGGUAGCAAACAGGAUUAGAUACCCGGGUAGUC
This 465-nucleotide ribosomal RNA is filed under the name Vreelandella stevensii. RNAcentral's name for it is "partial 16S ribosomal RNA". It matches the Rfam family "Bacterial small subunit ribosomal RNA", at positions 338 to 795 of the family's 1533-position model. The record is from RNAcentral. Lineage: Bacteria; Pseudomonadati; Pseudomonadota; Gammaproteobacteria; Oceanospirillales; Halomonadaceae.